This 226-nucleotide ribosomal RNA is filed under the name uncultured Flectobacillus sp. RNAcentral's name for it is "partial 16S ribosomal RNA". It matches the Rfam family "Bacterial small subunit ribosomal RNA", at positions 568 to 792 of the family's 1533-position model. The record is from RNAcentral. Lineage: Bacteria; Pseudomonadati; Bacteroidota; Cytophagia; Cytophagales; Flectobacillaceae.
UGCGUAGGCGGCUGAUUAAGUCAGCGGUGAAAGGUAGCAGCAUAACUGUUUUACAUGCCGUUGAUACUGGUAGACUUGAGUGUGAUUGAGGUAGCUGGAAUGGAUAGUGUAGCGGUGAAAUGCAUAGAUAUUAUCCAGAACACCGAUUGCGAAGGCAGGUUACUAAGUCAUAACUGACGCUGAGGCACGAAAGUGUGGGGAUCAAACAGGAUUAGAUACCCCAGUA